UACGGGGGGAGCAAGCGUUGUUCGGAUUUACUGGGCGUAAAGGGCGCGUAGGCGGCCAGCGCAAGUCAGUUGUGAAAUCUCCGGGCUUAACUCGGAAAGGUCAACUGAUACUGCGCGGCUAGAGUGCAGAAGGGGCAACUGGAAUUCUCGGUGUAGCGGUGAAAUGCGUAGAUAUCGAGAGGAACACCUGCGGCGAAGGCGGGUUGCUGGGCUGACACUGACGCUGAUGCGCGAAGGCCAGGGGAGCGAACGGG
Molecule: ribosomal RNA, 254 nt
Filed under: uncultured bacterium
Lineage: Bacteria
Description: partial 16S ribosomal RNA
Rfam family: Bacterial small subunit ribosomal RNA
Source: RNAcentral